Clostridium sp. is the source of this 228-nucleotide non-coding RNA. The record is from Rfam. NCBI's taxonomy places the organism in Bacteria, Bacillati, Bacillota, Clostridia, Eubacteriales, Clostridiaceae.
UAAUAUUUUAAGAAGGGAAAAAGUAGGUUUAAAAACAAACUUAAAGAGAGCUGUAGAGGGUGUAAUUACAGUAGUUAUGAUUAAACUGAAUGGGUCCUAGAAAACCUAAGUGAAAUAAUAGUAGCUCUAGGCGUAGGUUUUACGUUAUAAAAACAGAAUUUUAUAUUCGUAGAGGAGAAAUUUAAAAUUUCUUGAAUAUAGGUGGUACCGCGAUAAUUCGCCCUAUAA